AAAGAAUUAAUUGUGUGAUUGUCUUUCUUCUUCACAAACUGUUAUGACAAGUAGAUUUCAGAAUUUAGAACCUCUGAUAUGCUCAACCAGUUAAGAGAAGAAAGAAUUCAAGAAACUAUGGAGAAUGUGAAAGGAUUUUGGUCUAAAAAAGCUGCCUGCUGCAGACAUCAACUGCUUCUGUAGAAACAUUCGGGAACCUGGAAAGGCGCAACACACAGCUGUGCUGAUCACGGCCAGUGGUCCAUGGCCCACCCUCCCCUUCCAGGGUGGACACCGGGCCCCAGGGGGAAGCACUGGGUCCUCCUACCUACCUGAGCCCACAGAACUACUCUUGUAAAUGAAUCACUCCAAAAAUCAGC
Molecule: long non-coding RNA, 359 nt
Filed under: Fukomys damarensis (Damara mole-rat)
Lineage: Eukaryota; Metazoa; Chordata; Mammalia; Rodentia; Bathyergidae
Description: lncRNA (ENSFDAG00000031786.1)
Source: RNAcentral